RNAcentral lists this transfer RNA (72 nucleotides) under Pneumocystis sp. 'ludovicianus'. RNAcentral describes it as "tRNA-Thr". It matches the Rfam family "tRNA". From Rfam's summary of the family: Transfer RNA (tRNA) molecules are approximately 80 nucleotides in length. Their secondary structure includes four short double-helical elements and three loops (D, anti-codon, and T loops). Further hydrogen bonds mediate the characteristic L-shaped molecular structure. tRNAs have two regions of fundamental functional importance: the anti-codon, which is responsible for specific mRNA codon recognition, and the 3' end, to which the tRNAs corresponding amino acid is attached (by aminoacyl-tRNA synthetases). tRNAs cope with the degeneracy of the genetic code in two manners: having more than one tRNA (with a specific anti-codon) for a particular amino acid; and 'wobble' base-pairing, i.e. permitting non-standard base-pairing at the 3rd anti-codon position. The record is from RNAcentral. Lineage: Eukaryota; Fungi; Ascomycota; Pneumocystomycetes; Pneumocystales; Pneumocystaceae.
GCUAGAUUAACUCAAGGGUAGAGUGUGUAUUUUGUAAGUAUAAGGUUAGGAGUUCAAAUCUCUUAUCUAGCA